GUGUUUUAUGAAAACAGAGAAGGUCAACACUCCCUUGGUAAGGAUGUAAAAGGGCCUAGUGGACUGUACAAUACACAUAUGGUUAAUACAUGGCCAUUUACUUUGUAGCAUCUGACCACAUUUUUGG
This is a small nuclear RNA of Euleptes europaea (tarantolino), 127 nucleotides long. Lineage: Eukaryota; Metazoa; Chordata; Lepidosauria; Squamata; Sphaerodactylidae. The record is from RefSeq and is a predicted model, not a curated record.